AACGCUAGCUACAGGCUUAACACAUGCAAGUCGAGGGGCAGCAUGGUCUUAGCUUGCUAAGGCCGAUGGCGACCGGCGCACGGGUGAGUAACACGUAUCCAACCUGCCGUCUACUCUUGGACAGCCUUCUGAAAGGAAGAUUAAUACAAGAUGGCAUCAUGAGUCCGCAUGUUCACGUGAUUAAAGGUAUUCCGGUAGACGAUGGGGAUGCGUUCCAUUAGAUAGUAGGCGGGGUAACGGCCCACCUAGUCUUCGAUGGAUAGGGGUUCUGAGAGGAAGGUCCCCCACAUUGGAACUGAGACACGGUCCAAACUCCUACGGGAGGCAGCAGUGAGGAAUAUUGGUCAAUGGGCGAGAGCCUGAACCAGCCAAGUAGCGUGAAGGAUGACUGCCCUAUGGGUUGUAAACUUCUUUUAUAAAGGAAUAAAGUCGGGUAUGGAUACCCGUUUGCAUGUACUUUAUGAAUAAGGAUCGGCUAACUCCGUGCCAGCAGCCGCGGUAAUACGGAGGAUCCGAGCGUUAUCCGGAUUUAUUGGGUUUAAAGGGAGCGUAGAUGGAUGUUUAAGUCAGUUGUGAAAGUUUGCGGCUCAACCGUAAAAUUGCAGUUGAUACUGGAUAUCUUGAGUGCAGUUGAGGCAGGCGGAAUUCGUGGCGUAGCGGUGAAAUGCUUAGAUAUCACGAAGAACUCCGAUUG
This 694-nucleotide ribosomal RNA is filed under the name uncultured bacterium. Its description in RNAcentral is "bacterial SSU rRNA". It matches the Rfam family "Bacterial small subunit ribosomal RNA", at positions 32 to 715 of the family's 1533-position model. The record is from RNAcentral.